RNAcentral lists this unclassified non-coding RNA (413 nucleotides) under soil metagenome. RNAcentral describes it as "partial contains 5.8S ribosomal RNA, internal transcribed spacer 2, and large subunit ribosomal RNA". The stretch from base 1 to 120 matches the Rfam family "5.8S ribosomal RNA", at positions 35 to 154 of the family's 154-position model. The record is from RNAcentral.
GAUGAAGAACGUAGCGAAAUGCGAUAAGUAAUGUGAAUUGCAGAAUUCAGUGAAUCAUCGAAUCUUUGAACGCACCUUGCGCUCUUUGGUAUUCCGAAGAGCAUGCCUGUUUGAGUGUCAUGAAAAUAUCAACCUUGACUUGGGUUUUGUGCUCUAGUCUCGGCUUGGAAUUGGGUGCUUGCCGCUUUUACGAGCGGCUCACCUUAAAUGUAUUAGCUGGAUCUGUCUUUGAGACUUGGUUUGACUUGGCGUAAUAAGUAUUUCGCUAAGGACAUUCUUCGGAGUGGCCUCGUUUCUAGGACGCUUGUCCGCUUUCCAAUACAAGUUCCACCUCGUGGACAUGACUUUUUAUUAUCUGGCCUCAUAUCAGGUAGGACUACCCGCUGAACUUAAGCAUAUCAAUAAGCGGAGGA